CCUACGGGAGGCAGCAGUGGGGAAUAUUGGACAAUGGGCGCAAGCCUGAUCCAGCCAUGCCGCGUGAGUGAUGAAGGCCCUAGGGUUGUAAAGCUCUUUCACCGGUGAAGAUAAUGACGGUAACCGGAGAAGAAGCCCCGGCUAACUUCGUGCCAGCAGCCGCGGUAAUACGAAGGGGGCUAGCGUUGUUCGGAUUUACUGGGCGUAAAGCGCACGUAGGCGGACUAUUAAGUCAGGGGUGAAAUCCCGGGGCUCAACCCCGAAACUGCCUUUGAUACUGGUAGUCUUGAGUGCGAGAGAGGGGAGUGAAAUUCCGAGUGUAGAGGUGAAAUUAUUAGAUAUUCGGAGGAACACCAGUGGCGAGGGCGGCUCACGGGCUCGAUACU
RNAcentral lists this ribosomal RNA (386 nucleotides) under uncultured Phyllobacteriaceae bacterium. Its description in RNAcentral is "partial 16S ribosomal RNA". It matches the Rfam family "Bacterial small subunit ribosomal RNA", at positions 338 to 741 of the family's 1533-position model. The record is from RNAcentral. Lineage: Bacteria; Pseudomonadati; Pseudomonadota; Alphaproteobacteria; Hyphomicrobiales; Phyllobacteriaceae.